AGAGUUUGAUCAUGGCUCAGGAUGAACGCUGGCGGCGUGCUUAGGCAUGCAAGUCGAACGGUAGCUCUUCGGAGCGAGAGUGGCAGACGGGUGAGUAACGCGUAGGAACCUACCCUUUGGAGGGGAAUAGCCCAGCGAAAGUUGGGAUAAUACCGCAUAAUCCCUACGGGGAAAAGGAUGUAACUAUCCGCCGAAGGAAGGGCCUGCGUCCUAUCAGCUUGUUGGUAAGGUAAUGGCUUACCAAGGCUUCAACGGGUAGCCGGUGUGAGAGCACGACCGGCCACAGGGUUACUGGGACACGGAACCCACGUCUACGGACGGCAGCAACCGGGAAUAUUGCGCAAUGGACGAAAGUCUGACGCAGCGACGCCGCGUGGAGGAUGACGGCCUUCGGGUUGUAAACUCCUUUUAUUUAGGAACAUAAUGAGGGUACUAGAUGAAUAAGCACCGGCAAACUACGUGCCAGCAGCAGCGGUAAAACGUAGGGUGCAAGCGUUAUCCGGAUUUAUUGGGCGUAAAGAGUAUCGUAGGCGGUUAGAUAAGUCAUUCGUUAAAGCCCGAGGCUUAACUUCGGAAAGGCGAGUGAUACUGUUUAACUAGUGCAUAGUCGGGGAUAUUGGAAUGUCUGGUGGAGGGGUGAAAUCCGUUGAGAUCAGACAGAACACCGAGGGCGAAGGCAGAUAUCUAGGCUACUGCAGACGCUGAUGAACGAAAGCUGGGGUAGCAAAAGGGAUUAGAGACCCCUGUAGUCCCAUGCCGUAAACGAUCUCUACUAGCUGGUUGAGUCUAACUCAACUGGCGUAAGCUAACGCGUUAAGUAGAGCGCCUGGGGAGUACGGCCGCAAGGCUAAAACUCAAAUGAAUUGACGG
RNAcentral lists this ribosomal RNA (870 nucleotides) under uncultured bacterium. Its description in RNAcentral is "bacterial SSU rRNA". It matches the Rfam family "Bacterial small subunit ribosomal RNA", at positions 8 to 916 of the family's 1533-position model. The record is from RNAcentral.